AAAUUGAAGAGUUUGAUCAUGGCUCAGAUUGAACGCUGGCGGCAGGCCUAACACAUGCAAGUCGAGCGGAAACGAGUUAUCWGAACCUUCGGGGAACGAUAACGGCGUCGAGCGGCGGACGGGUGAGUAAUGCCUAGGAAAUUGCCCUGAUGUGGGGGAUAACCAUUGGAAACGAUGGCUAAUACCGCAUGAUGCCUACGGGCCAAAGAGGGGGACCUUCGGGCCUCUCGCGUCAGGAUAUGCCUAGGUGGGAUUAGCUAGUUGGUGAGGUAAGGGCUCACCAAGGCGACGAUCCCUAGCUGGUCUGAGAGGAUGA
RNAcentral lists this ribosomal RNA (316 nucleotides) under Vibrio parahaemolyticus. RNAcentral describes it as "bacterial SSU rRNA". The record is from RNAcentral. Lineage: Bacteria; Pseudomonadati; Pseudomonadota; Gammaproteobacteria; Vibrionales; Vibrionaceae.